GAGUUUGAUCAUGGCUCAGAACGUACGCUGGCGGCACGCCUAACACAUGCAAGUCGAACGAAGUAGCAAUACUUAGUGGCAGACGGGUGAGUAACAUGUGGGUAUCUACCCUUUGGCCUGGAAUAACACGAGGAAACUUGUGCUAAUACCGGAUAAGUCUUUACGGAGAAAGCUUUAUGCACCAUUGGAUGAGCCCGCACUUGAUUAGUUUGUUGGUAGGGUAAUGGCCUACCAAGACUAUGAUCAAUAGCUGAUUUGAGAGGAUGAUCAGCCACAUUGGGACUGAGACACGGCCCAAACUCCUACGGGAGGCAGCAGUGGGGAAUCUUGCACAAUGGAGGAAACUCUGAUGCAGCGAUGCCGCGUGAGUGAAGAAGGCCUUUGGGUUGUAAAGCUCUUUCGUCGGGGAAGAAAAUGACUGUACCCGAAUAAGAAGGUCCGGCUAACUUCGUGCCAGCAGCCGCGGUAAUACGAAGGGACCUAGCGUAGUUCGGAAUUACUGGGCUUAAAGAGUUCGUAGGUGGUUGAAAAAGUUGGUGGUGAAAUCCCAGAGCUUAACUCUGGAACUGCCAUCAAAACUUUUCAGCUAGAGUAUGAUAGAGGAAAGCAGAAUUUCUAGUGUAGAGGUGAAAUUCGUAGAUAUUAGAAAGAAUACCAAUUGCGAAGGCAGCUUUCUGGAUCAUUACUGACACUGAGGAACGAAAGCAUGGGUAGCGAAGAGGAUUAGAUACCCUCGUAGUCCAUGCCGUAAACGAUGUGUGUUAGACGUUGGAAAUUUAUUUUCAGUGUCGCAGGGAAACCGAUAAACACACCGCCUGGGGAGUACGACCGCAAGGUUAAAACUCAAAUGAAUUGACGGGGGCCCGCACAAGCGGUGGAGCAUGUGGUUUAAUUCGAUGAUACGCGAGGAACCUUACCUGGGCUUAAAUGUGACCGGACAGACUGUGAAAGCAGUCCUUCUUCGGACUGGUCUCAAGGUGCUGCAUGGUUGUCGUCAGCUCGUGCUGUGAGGUGUCGGGUUAAGUCCCAUAACGAGCGCAACCCUUAUCUUUAGUUGCCAGCGAGUAAUGUCGGGGACUUUAAAGAGACUGCCCGUGUAAACGGGAGGAAGGUGGGGAUGACGUCAAAUCAUCACGGCCCUUACGUCCAGGGCUACACACGUGCUACAAUGGUGAGUACAGAUGGUUGCUGCUUGGUGACAAGUUUGCUAAUCUAUAAAACUCAUCUCAGUUCGGAUUGGAGUCUGAAACUCGACUCCAUGAAGUUGGAAUCGCUAGUAAUCGCAUAUCAGCCAUGAUGCGGUGAAUACGUUCCCGGGCCUUGUACACACCGCCCGUCAAGCCAUGGAAGUUGGGAGUGCCUAAAGUCGGAAACCAUAUAGGAUCCGCCUAGGGUAAAACCGAUAACUAGGGCUAAGUCGUAACAAGGUAACC
RNAcentral lists this ribosomal RNA (1433 nucleotides) under uncultured marine bacterium. RNAcentral describes it as "16S ribosomal RNA". It matches the Rfam family "Bacterial small subunit ribosomal RNA". The record is from RNAcentral.